Long non-coding RNA from Salvia miltiorrhiza (redroot sage), 750 nucleotides. RefSeq lists it as uncharacterized. The record is from RefSeq and is a predicted model, not a curated record. NCBI's taxonomy places the organism in Eukaryota, Viridiplantae, Streptophyta, Magnoliopsida, Lamiales, Lamiaceae. The transcript is spliced from 2 exons.
UGAUGAAUAGGAUGCGGUUGGUACUAGGCAAUGUUAUCGAUCAAGCUCAAAGCGCUUUUAUUAGUGUGAGCUGAUUACAGAUAAUGUGUUUAUCGGUUUUGAAUGCCAACAUUGGCAACAAGGGAGGAAGAAAAGGGGAAAAUGAUAUGUUGCUGAUGGAAUGGAAUAUUCUCGAGGGUGUGAUGCAUAGAUUGGGCUUCCCAGAUAAUCUAUGUGCGCACAUUAUGAGAUGCAGGAAUUCUUAAAGUGGGAUUUUGCAAGUUAAUUUUGCCUUGAUUUUGUACCCCGUGACCGCGCCAUUGACCUCCGCGGCUGCACCCUCAUGCUUAAGGCCAUGGCGCCUUGCUCGCGCCUCUUCAUGAAGUCGAGACCUGCAGCCAUGCCCAUGGGCCACGGUCACGACCUCUACCUUUGGACGCCGACGCCCCCAGCUCGUACCCCUACUUGCGUGAUGGUCUCAUUCCACAAAAGUGAAGGCCGCCGUCGCGCCUACCUCUCAGUCACGCCACAGAAUUAAUGGCAGGCCUAUUUUUUGUGUCGUAUAAAUAGCUGCUCUUUUUCUCUCAGUAGAGUAUGAUUUUCAACACUAAAAAACACUCUUUUCUAGUUUUCUUUUGAGUAUUUCAUGUAUUUGCUUGGAGAUUGAAGACAACCUUGGAUUUUAGUAUUGUAAGAAUCGUUGGAGUUGUCGUUUUUAUUGUGGAUUGAAUUGUUGGUUAAUUUAUGCUUGUCACUUUAUUGUUGUUUUUA